CCUGGCUCAGAUUGAACGCUGGCGGCAGGCCUAACACAUGCAAGUCGAACGGUAGCACAGAGAGCUUGCUCUCGGGUGACGAGUGGCGGACGGGUGAGUAAUGUCUGGGAAACUGCCCGAUGGAGGGGGAUAACUACUGGAAACGGUAGCUAAUACCGCAUAACGUCUUCGGACCAAAGUGGGGGACCUUCGGGCCUCACACCAUCGGAUGUGCCCAGAUGGGAUUAGCUAGUAGGUGGGGUAAUGGCUCACCUAGGCGACGAUCCCUAGCUGGUCUGAGAGGAUGACCAGCCACACUGGAACUGAGACACGGUCCAGACUCCUACGGGAGGCAGCAGUGGGGAAUAUUGCACAAUGGGCGCAAGCCUGAUGCAGCCAUGCCGCGUGUAUGAAGAAGGCCUUCGGG
Molecule: ribosomal RNA, 406 nt
Filed under: Erwinia sp. AE_80
Lineage: Bacteria; Pseudomonadati; Pseudomonadota; Gammaproteobacteria; Enterobacterales; Erwiniaceae
Description: bacterial SSU rRNA
Rfam family: Bacterial small subunit ribosomal RNA
Source: RNAcentral